RNAcentral lists this long non-coding RNA (1161 nucleotides) under Pan troglodytes (chimpanzee). RNAcentral's name for it is "long non-coding RNA NONPTRT005255". Lineage: Eukaryota; Metazoa; Chordata; Mammalia; Primates; Hominidae. The record is from RNAcentral.
UUGGGGACUUUAGGAGGUUGAGGAAUGAGAGAACUUCACCUUCUGUAUAUUAACUGGUCGUAUGUCACAAUUUUCCCAUAUUUUUCACAGUUAUAGCUGAGGUGGUUACCAGUUUAAGAAGUGAGAACUUCUUCACUGACUGAAAUUUGCAUAUCAAUCCAAAUCAUUGUGCUUGUUUACUAUUUUUGUAGACGUCAUUCUUCAAAAGUGCUGCAUCUUUCAUAGUCAAGGAGGACAAAGACAUCUUUCCUGCAGGUGGUGACCAUGUGGAUAAUAGGAUCAUAGACAAAUGGUGGUUCCAUCUACAGCAUCACCAAAAUGCUGUUGUUACUGCUUCUUUCUGGGAUCUUCUUGCAUCUUUGCUUCUAAAGGGGCACACCUUUUAUAGAAGUAUGUCCAGGAAUAGAAGUGACCUGCUUUUUCGCAAGUAAUUGCCUGGAAUGUUUUUAUGUACUUCUCUGCACUCUCAAUACAUUUCAUGCUUCCCUCUAUUUUUGUAUAUUAACUCAUUGUAUUUCUUAAAUUUAUAUUUUACUUUAUGAAUGGAAGUGAGGUUUGUGUAUGGUAAAUAUAAUUAAUUCAACCCCAUGGAUACGUUAGUCACUCUCCAGAUGAUGGCAAGUCUUUCUCAGAAGCAGAGGGCCUUGGUGUGCCAGUGAUUUUUUUCCCCAUGUGUAAGAUACUUUUUUUCCUCAUUUGAAUCAGGAGCCCACAGUUUUUAGACAAGUCCCAAAUGAAAUCUUAAGCAUUUGUGUUAUCUGGACUAGACCUUCUGUAGUAUCCUUUUUGUUAGACCUAGUAUAUCUCAUUGCAGAUCAGGAUCUGAGAUUGACUAUAGUUCACCUCUUUCCAAGUACACAAACUUGGAUGACAUGACAACUGAGUGUGUAAGGGAGAGCGAGACCCUUGCACUGCCAUUUGAGCCAUUGUGAUCUCAUCUUGUAGAACAUGUUGUACAAUCAUUUUAUUGGUAUCAUUAGUGUUAUUUGGGGCUGGAAUAAAAAUCUCAGUGCACCAAAGAGAUUUCCCCUUUAUCCACGUUACCCUGGUUUUCCUUUGUUUUCUGUUUAACCUAAACGGGCUUAAUAUAAAAUAGUGCUUAUUUGGUGUUUUAAUUGUCUGCUUCUAUAACAUAAGCUGCACUGUCCAUUGGGGAACUGC